UUGUCUAAAGGAUUAAGCCAUGCAUGCGAAAGUACAGGCUCAUUUAAGUAGUCGAAACUGCGAACGGCUCCUUACAACAGUUAUAAUCUACUUGGGAGUUCAAUAUGGAUAACUACGGAAACGCUGUAGCUAAUACAUCGUACCUACUAAAGUAAAUGCUUUCGGGUAUUUACUUUAGAGGCCAACUCGUUGGAAUUGCAGCCACCCGCAUUGAAGGGGAGUCACAACGAGGGAGCUACGCGUCGGUCUAAUAUAACAGACCGUUUUCUAAGCGCGUACCAAAUGAGUUUCUGAUCUAUCAGCUGGUCGCCAAGGUAUUGUCUUGGUGUGGCUAUGACGGAUAACGGGGAAUUAGAGUUCGAUUCCGGAGAGGGCGCCUGAGAGAUGGCGACUAUAACUACGGUUAGCAGCAGGCGCGAAAAUUGCCCAAUGCCGACAAGGCGAGGCAGCGACCAGACAUACCGGGACCCCGUCAUUUUUUGGUGGAGUCAUUGGAUUCGACCUCCUCUAAACCAGGAGGUGAGAGGCAGUUUAGAUCAAGUUGAAGUGCCAGCAUUCGCGGUAAUACUUCCUUAAACGAAUGUAUGUUAAAGUUGUUGCGGUUAAAACGCUCGUAGUUGAUUGUCCCGCCGGGUAUUGGAUAUCCAGCUUUCUUCGGGAAGUUUUUGGAUUGUCCGAAACCCAAGCGGAUCAUUCCCUUUAUUAAUGGUUCUCUUCGGAGGAUCCUCUUAUAAGGGGAAUAUGUUACCUUGAGUAAAUUAGAGUGUUCCAAGCAGGCUUGUCUGUUUGAAUAUCCCAGCAUGGAAUAACUUUAUUGCGCGACGUCUCUCUUAUCCCGAAAGGGAGUGUGUGGUGCGUUUUAGGGCAACCUAAAACGUGGUGCUGCGAGAGAUGUGGUGCCGAUUAAUAGGAGCAGUUGGGGGCAUCCGUACUCCGAAGCUAGAGGUGAAAUUCUGUGACUUUCGGAAGACGAACAACUGCGAAGGCACUUGCCCAAAAUGCGUCCAUUAAUCAAGAGCGAAGUUAUGGGCAUCGAAAAAGAUCAGAGACCUUUGUAAUCCAUAAAGUAAACUAUGCCGUCCGGGGCGGAGUUGGCUACAUAGAUUUGCCUGCAUUCUAUGCGUAUGCAGGAGAAGUUUCGGCUUCUUUUGUUCUAUGUAUAGAGUAUUGCAGGUAGAUCGCUCGGUGCUUAUUCUGCCCCCGUGAGAAAUCCGAGAUUUUGGGUUCCGGGGCGAGUAUAAGCGCAAGCUAGAAAGUUAAAAGAAUUGACGGAGGGGCACCACAAAGCGUGGAGCUUGCGGCUUAAUUUGACUCAACACGGGAAACCUCACUAGCGUAGGACAGCGGAAGGAUUGACAGGGUUGCAGACCUUUCUUGAUUCGCUGGAGGGUGAUGCAUGGCCGUUCCUAGCUCUUGGCGUGGGCUGUCUGGUUAAUUCCGAUAACGAGCGGGACCUCCCCCUUCACUUCCGCCGGGCGCCAUGAUCUCGGAAUGAUUGAAUAUAGUGGCUCUAUUUCUGUCCUUAUUCUACUGUAUGUAUAUCUUAGCAUUUUGCAAAAAGUGGUAAGUGUGUGCAUAUAUGUGUUUAAGUGUACGAAAUGGAUGUCCUUACUGUAUUUAAUCAUUUCGAGGGCGCUAUUUACGUUUUGCGUGCGUGAAGGGACGUCGCGUGUCUAACGCGAGGCAGGGAGGCAACAACAGGUCUGUGAUGUCCUCAGAUAUGCUAGGCUGCACGCGUGCUACACUGACGCGCGCAACGGGCGUUCGUACAUUCGGUUUUUCUUUUUUCUCUUUAUGGGAAAGAAGAAUUAAUCGAUUGUUUGCCCCUCCUGAGAAGGCGGGGGAAUCCCUAAUGCGCGUCGUGACGGGGAUCGAAUCUUGCAAUUAGGAUUCUUGAACGAGGAAUGCUUAGUAAGCGCAACUCAUAAGGUUGCGCUGUAUGCGUAACUGCCCUUUGCACACACCGCCCGUCGUUGCUUUUAAUGGAGUGCCAAGUGACUUGCUUGGAGGUCGAAAUGGAUUUUCAUUUCGCCAAAGUGCUGGGAACUUUGUACUCUAGAGAAAG
This 2065-nucleotide ribosomal RNA is filed under the name Parahaemoproteus sp. Its description in RNAcentral is "SSU rRNA". It matches the Rfam family "Eukaryotic small subunit ribosomal RNA". Lineage: Eukaryota; Apicomplexa; Aconoidasida; Haemosporida; Haemoproteidae. The record is from RNAcentral.